This 373-nucleotide ribosomal RNA is filed under the name uncultured Leptolinea sp. Its description in RNAcentral is "bacterial SSU rRNA". It matches the Rfam family "Bacterial small subunit ribosomal RNA", at positions 994 to 1382 of the family's 1533-position model. The record is from RNAcentral. Lineage: Bacteria; Bacillati; Chloroflexota; Anaerolineae; Anaerolineales; Anaerolineaceae.
UAGGAAGCCGAAAGGUGACCGACCCUUCGGGGAGCUUGCACAGGUGCUGCAUGGCUGUCGUCAGCUCGUGUCGUGAGAUGUUCGGUUAAGUCCGCUAACGAGCGCAACCCUCGCUGUGUGUUAUAUGUGUCACACGGGACUGCCGGUCUUAAGCCGGAGGAAGGUGGGGAUGAUGUCAAGUCAGCAUGGCCUUUAUAUCCUGGGCUACACACACGCUACAAUGGCCAACACAAUAGGUUGCUAAGCCGCGAGGUGGCGCCAAUCCAUAAAGUUGGUCUCAGUUCAGAUUGUAGGCUGCAACCCGCCUACAUGAAGAUGGAGUUGCUAGUAACCGCAGGUCAGCUAUACUGCGGUGAAUACGUUCCCGGGGCUU